RNAcentral lists this long non-coding RNA (1695 nucleotides) under Zea mays. RNAcentral's name for it is "long non-coding RNA NONZMAT003997". The record is from RNAcentral. Lineage: Eukaryota; Viridiplantae; Streptophyta; Magnoliopsida; Poales; Poaceae.
CAGGAAAAGGAGAUGGUAUGAAGCUUUGGGGUGUUUGAGAGAGUCAAUUCAAUUUUUAUUAACUCAAGCUAUCAAUCUUCAAUGAUCUAUAUCCAAGAUUGACCCGAAGUUAUUUUGAAUUGUUAUAUCUAAAACUCAUAUCAUCUCGGGGAAGGUAUUGAUGUUGUAGGAAAUAAAGAAUUAAUCCUAUGCCGAAAAAUCAAGGCUUACAACAUGGAGGAAAGCCAAAGGAUGGUAACAAUUAUGCUUUUAAGUGUAAGUAUCUUAAAUUAUUAUUUCUUAUGUGUCUUGUGUAGUCACAUAGAAAAAGAAAGCACUUCAAAUGUUUUUAAAUUAUGUCACCAUUCUUUGAAGAAAUUCCUCUCAUAUGGUAGAUUGUAUAUUCAUCAUUUCUAUACCAUGGCAAUCUACAUGCUUUAAAUUGUUGUAAGUAUCUCAUGGCAUGCUUUACACUAAUCAUCCUAUUAUUGCCAUGUUCUAGAUAUAGAGAGAUAUUGCAUAUUCUUAAAAGAAUAAGGUGUCACGUAAGGAAUUCAAUUCCUUAGGACACUUAUAAAGGGAAUCUCUCUUUAUAUCUGGAGAUCGUGGGACUAAUGCUUUUGUCUCAAUAACCUAAAUAGUCUCACAUAUAGAGAAUAAGUUUCUCUUUGGAGAUGCGCAAUCUAACAUGAAAAGAAAAGUCAAUCCAAUGAUUUAUGUUGUUUUGCCUCUUGCUUAAGUUAGAUAUGAUUCUUCUAUAUUUAUCGCUCUCCAUGUUGUGAAUUAGAUUUAUUCCCAUAAUCUUAAAGAAUUAUCUAUGCUUGUUUUGUAAGCAAAAUUAAGCAUACAUCAUGGAAUAACCUAUUUCAUAUUAUAAAGUUUCCAUGCUUUAGUAGUCUAUCUUUCCAUUCCUUAUUAAAAUGAUUACACAAAGGGAAACUAGUGCUUGUGUUACUAAUGACAUAUCUCUUGAGCUUACUUAUGAAAAUCUACAAGAGAGUAAGUGCAAGCCGCAAGCCUCAAGGGUUACUCUUCAACCAAAGGAAGAAAGGUAAAAGCAAAGGUAUGAGAACUCAUCUUCUUAAUCAAAUAUAGUUCCCAUCAAUGGUUAUUUACUCUAAAUUCUACCUAUGUGAAGAAUGGAUUCUUUAUUGGACUUAAGUCAGCCAGAUGUGCAUUCAAUCUCAUUCUCAUAAAAUGCACUUGUCCAUUAUAAUCUAAUUCAUGCCUUUGCUAUAUCUGUUCUCAUAUUGAUAUGUUUUUAAGUCAUGAUAAUAAAUUCAAUAUGAAGAAGUAAAAUUACUAUGAUUGAUCGAGAUAUUUAAAAGGUGCUUAUUCCUCUUUUCUAAUAAUGUGCACUAAUGUUAAGGAUUUUACUUCAUGUCUGUGUGACUUAUGAAUGAUAAAUUGUUUAUAUUCCUCAUCUAAAAGAAAUCAUUCUUCAUCAUAAACUCCCUUGUGCUAUUAACAUCUCUCUUGAGUAUUUUCAAUAAGUUUGGAAGGAUAAAGAGUCAACUAUAAAGGGAGGACACUCAAAUGAAAAGGAAGACAUCAAGAGCAACAACACCUACUUGGAUAAUGAGAUCUUCAAAACAAUCAAUGGUGUGGUUGUAAGCAUUGUAAAUCUUUUUCAUUGUGAGAAUACUAGGCAUAAAUUGUUAUUGCAAAUUUUGUAAGCCUUGAUCAAGAUGAAUAAUGCUUCUCCCUAUUUGUCUU